Molecule: long non-coding RNA, 6695 nt
Organism: Homo sapiens (human)
Lineage: Eukaryota; Metazoa; Chordata; Mammalia; Primates; Hominidae
Exons: 3
Source: RefSeq, a predicted model, not a curated record
GCAUAUUAUAAUCAAAUUGCUUAAAACCAACGAUAAAGAGAAAAUCUGAAAAGCAGCCAGACAGAAAAAACACAUUAUACAGAGGAAAAGAUUCAUAAACUGAAGACCGAUAGCAAAAUGAUGUUCAGUUAAGCAAAUUCAACAUGUCUGAACCUUCAUAAAUUCGGUAUAGUGUGAAUUUAUGAUCUAAAUUUUUUUUUACUAUCCUAUUAUUCUAUUCACUGUGAAAAAUAUUUCUUUGAAAAGUUACUGGAUUUCUUUACACACUGCUAUGGACUGAAUGUUUGUGUCACUCCCAAAUUCGCAUGUUGAAAUCCUAGCCCCCAGUGAUGCUGUCCUGCAGUGUGAUCCUGGCCUCGGGAGACGUCUGUCCCCAGCAGAGCUAAUCACCUUUACUCUUUGGGUGAAAUUGAAACUGAUAAUAUUUUGAUGUCAACGCAUCUCAUUCAAGAGCUGAGCUGUGAAAUCCUACGAAGCCAUGGCAGGGGUAGGUCCCGUGCGUGCCCCAAAACCAAGAAAGCCAGGCUUUGGCAAAGGAACAAACAAAAGCAGCAGCAGCAGCAGAGAACAGAAGGCCAUGCGGUCCCAGUGAUGGCAAAAGUCACUGAUCGCCACCCUUCCUGGUCAGAUGGCCACCUUUCCUGGUCACUGAUCUCCAUGCCUAGACCCUCCCCUCCUCCUCCAGGUCUGACUACUCUUCCUGUCCCUGGAUUCUCAAUCUUCCCAAGUCUCAACAACCCCAGCCACCUCAUACAUUCAUAAAUUCCCCCUUCCUCAGAAUCCAUGUGUCUACCCGCCCUCCUGCCCCUAAUGUGAACACACUUCCCGUUUUCCACAGGGAGCCUGUGGUUCUUUAUUUGGUUCUUCUCCCUACAGGAGCCCCCUCUCAUUUAUUUUUUUAACGUCUCCCUUUCAUAAAGUGUAGCUUUCUGAGGUUAUCCAAUCCUAUCUGGUGACCGAUCCAGGAAAAGAGGAAAUGAAGCUGGCCCUCCUGUGUGGCUUGGGGAGAACCUAGGUAAGAAUGACAGGCUGGGUAAUGAAUGGCAGCUCUGGUUGCUUGCAAGGGUGAUCCUGGUCAUUGCAUCACGAGAAAGUCAGUCUCACGGGGGUCUUGGUAGCCCUCCUUUCCAGCUGACAGCCCUCUGAGGCUCUGCACGCAGAGUUUUUCAUUUCUUUGUACACCAUUGCUUUUUCAGGUAGAAGAAAACAGAGACGCUUAGUCCCUAAACUGCAUCUCAGUGAUGGAGGGGCACACUCGGGUUCACUGUGGCUUUUGAACCCACCCAUUUGAGGGUUUAGAGGCUCUGUUUGAUGACAGAUGAAAUAAUAUUGAUUUUAAAACCAGCUCCACCUCUAGAACAUUUCGACAGAGUGUUUUCAAGCCAAACCAAACACCAGAUGAAGCCCUCUUAGUUCAAGGCAACUUUAUUUCACCAGCAGCUGCUUGUUAGCUGUGGAUCUGCUGUGGUGAACACACACAGGGGCGCCUGUCUUUCCCCAUCAUGAGACGGGCCCCCCAUGCUAAAAGCAGUCACAUUUAAUACACUCAGGGAAGGGGGGCCCAAUUUCUAAACCUGAUGUCUACAAAUCUGAUUAAACAAAUUAAAGGGGCAUGUGCACAUUAUAAGCAGGUUCUUCAUCUUACAAAAGCAUCCAGUGCAGAGUCCCUCUAAGGUCCUCCUGCAUAGUCUAUUUAUAAAAAUCCAAUUUCACAGGACCUUCUCCACAGCUGACAGGCAGAGGCCAAAAGGGAGAAUACCAGCUUUUCUUUGGCCCCACAAUGGACCCAACUGAAAAAAAUGUUAAAGUGUAGCAUAGGCAGGUGCUGUGGCUCACACCUGUAAUCCCAGCACUUUGGGAGGCCAAGGCGGGAGGAUCACCUGAAACCAGGAGUUCGAGACCAGCCUGGGCGACACAGUGAGACCUCUGUCUCUAUUAAAAUUAAAAAAAAAAUUCUUUAAAUUAGGCCGGCAUGGUGGUGUGUACUUGUAGUCCCAGCUAUUCAGGAGCUGAGGUGGGAGGAUGGCUUGAGCACAGGAGUUAGAAGCUGUAGUGAGCCGUGACUACAGCACUGCACUCUAGCCUGGGCAACAGAGAGAUCUGUUGUACAAAAAAUGUGUAGCUAGCAGAAAAAGGUAAGUCAGAUUCACUGGAAAACAUCUGCUCCCAGGAAGCUGCAGGCAAAUGUGGCUUAUUCAAGACUAAGGUGAACAGUUUCCUCCUGGACAUAAAGUGGCAAAAAUGGGGUCAAAUCAUCUCUGAUGGGUCCCUUCUGGCAUUGGAAUUGCAUCAUUUUUAUGACGAGCAUACCAGUGAUGCUCAUGUAUUAAUCACUGACAUUCUCUCAGGGUAACCUUCUCACAAGCAUACAGUAUGCAUUCUUUUUUUUUUUUUUUUUUGAGACAAGGUCUCCCUCUGUUGCCCAGGCUGCAGUUCAGUGGCACGAUCAUAGCUCACUGCAGCCUUGACCUCCCAGGCUCAAGCAAUCCUCCUACCUCAGCCUCCUGAGUAGCUGGGACUACAGGUGCAUGCCACCAUGCCUGGCUAAUUUUUGUAUUUUUUGUAGAGAUGGGGUCUCACUAUGUGGCUGAGGCUGGUGUAUGAACUCCUGGCCUCAAGCAAUCCUCCCACCUCAGCCUCUCAACAUGCUAGGAUUACAGGCAUGAACUACCACACCCUGCCUCAAUAUGUAUCUUUAUGUGUCUACUUGUUAGGAUGUUAGGGCAUUUUUGUGAUAGAUAUAAAUACUUUCCAGAAGGCUAAUACGCAUACAAUAAAGUUAAUUUACUCAUUUGCUUCAUCAUAGGAAAACAGCUAGACACAUUCAGCAAAUUUAGAAGAUAUGUUUGGGACAGCGUCAUGUGAAAUCCAAGUUAUGUGGCAUAUAUGAAAUUUGCAUGGCAGGGGCGUGGUGGGGGCACUCUGCAAGAUGCCUCAAAGAAUCAGAAGUUGCUGGGUACGGUGGCUCACGCCUGUAAACCCAGCACUUUGGGAGGUCAAGGCGGGCGGAUCACCUGAGGUCAGGAGAUGACCAUCCUGGCUAACACGGUGAAAACCUGUCUCCAAUAAAAACACAAAAAAUUAGCCGGGCGUGGUCGCGGGCACCUGUAGUCCCAGCUACUCGGGAGGCUGAGGCAGGAGAAUGGCGUGAACCCAGGAGGCGGAGCUUGCAGUGAGCCAAGAUCGCGCUACUGCACUCCAGCCUGGGCAACAGAGCGAAACUCCGUCAAAAAAAACAAAAAAAAAUCGGAAGUUGGUUCAGCUCUAGGCCAGCUGAAACUCAUAUAAUGACACGUCCACAAGACUGGCAAUUUGGGAAGGACACGCUGUCCAUACUGAGAAGCUGUGGAUGUAGUCAGUUAUCGUCUUAAAUAAGAGUCUCAAACUGAAAUUCACAAGGGCAAAAUGCUGCAAAUUAUGGGAGUGAUCUGCAACAAUGCUGCAUCUCACGUGGGCAGUUCCACGCAAACUACUCUGGGGCUGUGGCAGCAGAGAUGCAUUUAAGAACAGUGAGCCAGGUGCGGUGGCUCAUGUCUGUAAUUCCAGCAUUCUGUGAGGCUGAGGAGGGAGGACCACUUGAGGUCAGUUCGAGACCAGCUGGCUAACAUGGCAAAACCCUGUGUCUACUAAAAAUACAAAAAAAUUAGCUGGGUGUGAUGGCACAGGCAUGGUGGAGCACACCUGUCAUCCCAGUUACUUGGGAGGCUGAGGCACGAGAAUCACUUGAACCCAGGAGGCAGAGGUUGCAGUGAGCCGAGAUACCACUGCACCCCAGCCUGGGCAACAGAGCAAGACUCUGUCUAAAAAAUUAAAAAAAUAAAAUUAAAACAGUGAGUGAUUCCCUUGACACAUGCCAGGAAAGCCAGCCAGCAAAAUGAUAAAUCAGACAAAACUAAGCAAUUAAGGGUCCCUAUGGAAGUUUAUGAUACCAAUUUAACCCUUGAGAUCAAAGUUAUAGACACCUACAGUGCUCUCCCAAAAGUGUUUCCCCCUAGAGAGUAUUAAACAUCCAUGUUAAAUGAUGUCAACAACUUUCCACAUCUUACUUCUAAAAUUUUUAGAUUCAAUCCCGUGAAAAAACGUUUAUCUUCACAAACUAGAAUCAGGGUAAGUAAGGUAGGACCCUAUUAUAGCACCUCGAGGUGACCAACUAAGUUAUAGCACCUCGAGGAUGACCAACUAAGUUACAGCACCUUGAGGGUGACCAACUAAGUUACAGCACCUCGAGGGUGACCAAUUAAGUUAUAGCACCUCGAGGGUGACCAACUAAGUUAUAGCACCUCGAGGGUGACCAACAAAGUUAUAGCCCAGGGCUGAGGGGUUUCCCAGGAUGUGGGACUUUUCAGUGCUAAAACCAGAACAGUCCUGGGCAAACCAGGCUGGUUGGUCACCCUAAUUUGGAAGAAGACAGAUUCCAAAGCAUAACUACAAGCAUUACUACAAAUUUGAAGGGCCCAAUAUAAUGCAGUCGGCCUACAGGGUUUGCCUACCAGAACUGCACAGGGGGAUCUUACUUACAUGGGGAAAAUAAAACCCACAAAAUUGAAUGUCUCUACUGGCUUCCCUUUGAAUGUUUUGUAUUUUACAGAUAGAGCCUCAGAUCCUGGGCAUCGAUAUUCCACAUGGAUCCUGUUUGUACCUCUUGUAUUCACACCGGGGAAACUGCAAAGGGAAGACUGCUAAGUAAUGUAAGGGGGCCCGUGCCUGCACAAAUUCUUCCUAGCAGGCACACUGGGGGCCUUAGCAGCGUAUGUGUUGUGAGCGAGUAACACUUUGCAUCCGCAACGGACUUCAUGCCUUUCAGACAAUCUGCCAGACCAGUCCUAAUGGCAACCUUUUAAAAAAGGAUGACAAGUCCUUCUAGCAGGCUGUCACAUGUUGCCAGAUUAAAACAUUGUGUAAUUAUUUACAGGAGACGGUGGGGUGUCAGAUCAUUUGGCUGGAAAGACCAUGUUUCCAAAUAAAUUUGAGAGAUAGCUACAGCUGCUCUAAAACAGAGCAAAAUAUAUGGCAACAAAAGGAAGAAGAACACAUUAUUGAGGCAAAUCAUGCAAUUAAGUAUCCACUCUUUGUCAUAGGGCAUUUUGGCUGUCCCUGCUUCUCCAGGCAAGCUUUUGGAAUAUUCUGAAUAAGAGCUGGAGAGUCAAAGAAAGAGAAAACAAAGCCCCUUUCUAUCUCCCAUACUUUUCCUUCCUGCAGGAAAAGGGACACAGUACCAUGCAGUUGAACACCAUGUCAAGUGAGGAUAAAGGAAAACAGCCAUGACAUCACUCCAUUACUGCCACCCCCAGUGUGCCUCACAGGCCCUGCAAUUUAUAAUCUUGUUUAAUCCUCCAAGCAACCGAGGAAUACAGAUAUCAUCGCCCCUGCUGUACAGAUAAGGAAGCAGAGGCUCAUUGGGGUCCAGGAGCAUGCCUGUGGACAAAUAGCUCCUAAAUGACAUUGAGUUUUAAACCCAAUCUCCAAAAAGCCUGUAUGUUUUGAGCGCCUAUGAUGUGUCAUCAGACAGUGAGGCAGGUACUUGGGAUACAAUCAGAUAAAUGGCAGAGAACCUAUCCAAGAAGCCCACAAGCUGGAAGCGAAUACAAGAAACGCCAUCACUCAUAGCCAUGACAAUUACUGAGUGCCUGUCACAUGCCUGGCAUUGUUCCCAUUCAUGACUUCAGUUCAGCCUCCCACCAGCCCACUGACCAAGGCACUAUUUUCCAUGAUGUCUUCACUUUCUGACUUUAAAACCCAGACUCUUCACCAUUAGAUCAUGUGCCUGAGAUCAAUGGCAAGAGAUGAAAGCCUGGCCAAAGCACUGUGUUAAUAAAGUAGGCUGAUUAUACAGUUUACUACAAGUAGAAGGAAUUGCCACAAACUGGUACUUCUGGAGCAGUGUUCAGGAAGAAGGCAGGAACUGCAGCUGAAUCUAGUAAUAAGACACGAUGAUGAUGAUGAUGAUGACAGCAAUGACAACAGCAACAACAAAAAUAGAGGCUGGGUGUGGUGGCUCAUGCUUGUAAUUCCAGCACUCUGGGAGGCAGAGGCAGGAGGAUCGCUUGAGCCCAGGAGUCUGAGACCAGUCUGGGCAACACGGCAAGACCCCAUCCCUACAAAAAAUUUUAAAAUUAGCUGGACAUGGUGGCAUGUAUCUGCAGUCCCAGCUACUCAGGGGGCUAGGGUAGCAGGAUCACUUGAGCCCAAGAAGUAGAGGCUACAGUGAGGUAUGAUCACACCACUGCACUCCAGCUUGGGCAACAGACGAAGACUCUGUCUCUAAAAAAAAAAAAAAAAAAAAAAAGACAAAAAAAAAGUGCUAGAGAACCAGAUUUAAAGCAGAAGCAGUCCGGAAAUCACAUGCAAAACUGCUCCCAGGGAGAAACGCAAGCCCAGGCACAGAGCCCCGCUUGAUGGCAGGUGCUGGACAAUAACAAUGCUGGGAUCCCCGCCUCUGCUGCCACUUUCCUCACCAGCAUGGAUCCUGCCCUCUCCUUUGUGUCACUCACUAAAGGCUCAAAGUCUGGUUCAAGGUAGAAACAAUUUUACGUGUCUCAGAAAGAACAAAGAGUUUAAGAUGGUGAUGCUGAGAUUCUGGACAAGAUGGACAUGGUGAUCUCUACUGGAAUCCGGGGACUGCUGUACUACGGUCAUAUACUACUGCUGGGGGCCUGGUGUUCCCGGGGUGCACUGGGGGCCUUGCUGUACUGAUA